RNAcentral lists this transfer RNA (72 nucleotides) under Nitrososphaerota archaeon. RNAcentral describes it as "Thaumarchaeota archaeon tRNA-Cys". It matches the Rfam family "tRNA". From Rfam's summary of the family: Transfer RNA (tRNA) molecules are approximately 80 nucleotides in length. Their secondary structure includes four short double-helical elements and three loops (D, anti-codon, and T loops). Lineage: Archaea; Thermoproteati; Nitrososphaerota. The record is from RNAcentral. RNAcentral also lists the same sequence under 1 other name.
GGUGAGGUGGCAGAGUGGUUAUGCGUUCGCCUGCAGAGCGAACCUAUAUGGGUUCAAAUCCCAUCCUCACCU